Molecule: long non-coding RNA, 1423 nt
Organism: Salvia splendens (bonfire salvia)
Lineage: Eukaryota; Viridiplantae; Streptophyta; Magnoliopsida; Lamiales; Lamiaceae
Exons: 5
Source: RefSeq, a predicted model, not a curated record
AUGAUUCCCCUCUUAAAAUUGGAUAUGAACAGAAGAUUAGAUUUUUAUGGCUCUGAAAUUAAAGGUUAAUAGGUUAACCUAUGCGCAAAUUGGGCGUUUUCAUGGUUAUGAUAUGAUAUUUUAUCUGUUGAAUAAACGUUUAUUGCUUCAUUUUCUUCCUAAAAUUAGGUUAUGAGUAAAAAAGGUGUCUUUGCAUUAUUAGGUUAUGAACUGUGUGUUUUGUUAUAGAAAUGGUUAUUGCUUGCAAGGUUGAGUACAUGACGGAUUCUUGACAGGAAGCUUUCUAUUUCUCGAACCCGUAUCAACCCUGCACCCCGAUUCCUUCUCCCGAAUUUCGGCUAUGUGAUUGGUCAGGCCAGAAAUUCGAAAUUUAGUGCAUCCCUUGUGAAGAGUGUAUCUCCCUAUGCCGGCAUUGGUCUUUCAGUUUCGUGUACGCGACUCAACUCUUGUAGAGCAGUUGGAAAGGACCACAAUAGAAGGCAUAUAAGAUCUCAUUUGUCGGAGGAUGGCAGUGCUGCUGCAGAUGUCCGUGUAGAUGGUGAUAGGAAGGAUGAUAAGAAGAAGCAGAUGGAUAGGAUUGGUCAUGGAAACAAAGGGAGAGUUCCGUGGAACAAGGGAAGGAAACACAGUGAAGAAACUCGUGAGAGAAUUAGUCGUAAAACAAAAGAAGCCUUGAAAGAUCCCAAGGUGAAGUCAUGUUAGGAAAAAGAUGUCUGAAGCUCCUCGGGUUCUCAGUACAGUAAACAGACAAAAGUAAAGAUAUGUGCGUCUCUCACAAAGCUAUGGGGAAGAUGUCUAAGAUUGAAGAGGUCGAGAGAGAGAUUAUUGCAAUCAUGGGGUGAAAGUAUAGCAUUAGCUGCUAAGAAAGGAGGGGUUGAUCAGCAAGAACUGGAAUGGGAUGGUUACAAAAAAUUUAAACAAGAUGUAGGCCGACAGAAUGCAGAGGAAGCAAAGAUGAAAGAGCUUAUGCGUGUACGGAAACGGAGAGAAGCAAAGGCGAAAGCAACGCUCAAAAGAGAAGGGAGCGGGAAGAAAUCGCUAAAGUUGGACAGGAACCUACUAGAAAGAGGAACAAAUGGUCGCAAGAAACGAGAGAAAAACUUGUCGAAUUUGAGGAGGCAAAACUGAAGGAGAGGCUAAUGAAGAUUCGGAGAAAGAAAUCGACAAUCUCUCGAGUAAGCAGUCAGCGUCAGCGACAGCGAAUGUGGGAGAAAUUCGACCUGGACCUUGCGGAGGGGAAGCACUUGCAGAAGGAUAUUUCGCUUGCUGAUCAGAUUCGUGUUGCUAAGAUGAGGAGCAGAACUGCUGCUUGACAAGCAAGACUUCAAACAUCUCUAACUGAUGAAGAAGAAUUCACUGUUUCCUUGUCCACUUCAAUCCAUUUAUUUGUUGGUUGUUAAACAAUACCCUCAAAAAGAUAAUG